This is a non-coding RNA of Parelaphostrongylus tenuis, 75 nucleotides long. The record is from the annotation of a GenBank genome assembly. NCBI's taxonomy places the organism in Eukaryota, Metazoa, Nematoda, Chromadorea, Rhabditida, Metastrongylidae.
GCGUCAGUAGUGUAACGGCUUAGAGCACGUGCUCCCGGAUAGAGUGAGGCGCAGGUUCUACUCCUGCCUAACGCG